GAGGGUAUAGCUCAGUGGUAAAGCAUACACAAGGUCCUGGGUUCAAUCCCCUGUACCUCCU
This 61-nucleotide transfer RNA is filed under the name Camelus bactrianus (Bactrian camel). It matches the Rfam family "tRNA". From Rfam's summary of the family: Transfer RNA (tRNA) molecules are approximately 80 nucleotides in length. Lineage: Eukaryota; Metazoa; Chordata; Mammalia; Artiodactyla; Camelidae. The record is from Rfam by way of RNAcentral. RNAcentral also lists the same sequence under 2 other names.